GAUGAACGCUAGCGGCAGGCUUAACACAUGCAAGUCGAGGGGUAUAGUUCUUCGGAACUAGAGACCGGCGCACGGGUGCGUAACGCGUAUGCAAUCUACCUUUUACAGGGGAAUAGCCCAGAGAAAUUUGGAUUAAUGCCCCAUAGUAUAGUUUUUCGCAUGAAGAGAUUAUUAAAGUACCAACGGUAAAAGAUGAGCAUGCGUCCCAUUAGCUAGAUGGUAAGGUAACGGCUUACCAUGGCGACGAUGGGUAGGGGUCCUGAGAGGGAGAUCCCCCACACUGGUACUGAGACACGGACCAGACUCCUACGGGAGGCAGCAGUGAGGAAUAUUGGUCAAUGGACGCAAGUCUGAACCAGCCAUGCCGCGUGCAGGAUGACGGUCCUAUGGAUUGUAAACUGCUUUUGUACGAGAAGAAACACUCCUAGUGUAGGAGCUUGACGGUAUCGUAAGAAUAAGGAUCGGCUAACUCCGUGCCAGCAGCCGCGGU
RNAcentral lists this ribosomal RNA (490 nucleotides) under uncultured bacterium. RNAcentral's name for it is "bacterial SSU rRNA". It matches the Rfam family "Bacterial small subunit ribosomal RNA", at positions 28 to 521 of the family's 1533-position model. The record is from RNAcentral.